GGGGAAUAUUGCACAAUGGGCGAAAGCCUGAUGCAGCAACGCCGCGUGAGUGAUGAAGGCCUUCGGGUUGUAAAGCUCUGUCUUCUGGGACGAUAAUGACGGUACCAGAGGAGGAAGCCACGGCUAACUACGUGCCAGCAGCCGCGGUAAUACGUAGGUGGCAAGCGUUGUCCGGAUUUACUGGGCGUAAAGGAUGCGUAGGCGGAUACUUAAGUCAGAUGUGAAAAUCCCGGGCUUAACUUGGGAACUGCAUUUGAAACUGGGUAGCUAGAGUGCGGGAGAGGAAAGUGGAAUUCCUAGUGUAGCGGUGAAAUGCGUAGAGAUUAGGAAGAACACCAGUGGCGAAGGCGACUUUCUGGACCGUAACUGACGCUGAGGCAUGAAAGCGUGGGGAGCAAACA
This 401-nucleotide ribosomal RNA is filed under the name uncultured bacterium. Its description in RNAcentral is "bacterial SSU rRNA". It matches the Rfam family "Bacterial small subunit ribosomal RNA", at positions 356 to 774 of the family's 1533-position model. The record is from RNAcentral.